RNA transcript from Prunus persica (peach), 2130 nucleotides. It is a transcript of the gene named long chain acyl-CoA synthetase 2, with no coding region annotated. The transcript is spliced from 6 exons. The record is from RefSeq and is a predicted model, not a curated record. NCBI's taxonomy places the organism in Eukaryota, Viridiplantae, Streptophyta, Magnoliopsida, Rosales, Rosaceae.
AAUCCUCCAAAGCGUAAGACCAGUAGCCUUGAAAUGUGAUUGGGAUGCUAAGGAUUUGCAUCCUUCUUACAAGAUGACAUUCUCAAGCCUGCGGGUAGAAUUCAAUGAUUAUUAUUUGUUAUUGUUUUUGUGUUAAUUCAACAUGAGGAUUUUGGUUUCCUUUCAAUCAAGUUUUGAAUGGUGGACAUUGUAGAAUGUAUUGUUGGAAUGGUGCAGUUUUGCUCUUAUUAAAGAUGAGAUAAGAGGGAGAAGACUGGUCUGCACCUUAUUGUUUCAGAGUAGAUGGUGCCCGCUAGGGAAUAAAGUUAUACCUCCCGAGAAAUAUUCUUUAAAGCUUCAAGCCUUAACCUGUUACUCUCCCAGCAAUUGUGGCAUGGAAAUCUCUCCCUGAGUCUGUGAUCACUUAGAGUUCUGGUGCCUGCUAUUCCUGAUGGCUAGCAUGGUCUUACUUUCCCUUUCAUGCCACUGCUCUGCUGGUUUCCUGGAUGUCUUUUCUUUCCUGCUGCUUGGUUUGUGGAUGAUUUGUUACUGUUGCCUUCGGUUCGGGGUUGCUAUUAUUGCAGUCCCUAUUGGUUGCUCUCUCCUUGCUGCGCCACUGUUUUUGGCUGGUUGCUUUUCACAGUUCCUCGCUUUUGACCUGCUUUGCUGGUUAGUGCUGCCUUGCUGCUUUGUUAAGGUGUGUUGCUGGCUGUAGACUUUGCUCUUCCUGCGGCUGCAUUUUGUUCUUGAUAGCAGAACAGGUUGCUGUUUGGCUCUGCCUUGUUUUCUCCUUGGUGUUGCUGCAUUAGUUCUCCGGUCAUUGUUGGUUAGUGCUUUGCGUGCUGCCUAAUGUUGGGGAGAAGAUUUUCUAGUCAGUAGUUUAUAAACUUUUCCUUAAAAAAAGAACUUUCCAUCAGCUUCUUAAGCUCUUUGACAUGUAGGCCUCACUGAAAGCUGUGGUGGAUGUCUUACGUCUAUUGGCAAUGUUUUUCCUAUGAUGGGAACUGGGGGUGUCCCCAUGACAACUAUUGAAACAAGGCUUGAGUCAGUGCCAGAAAUGGGAUACGAUGCACUUUCCAGAGUGCCACGUGGAGAGAUUUGCCUGAGAGGAAAAUCCUUGUUUUCUGGUUACCACAAGCGACAAGAUCUGACAGAGGAAGUCCUUAUUGAUGGGUGGUUUCAUACUGGUGACAUUGGAGAAUUGCAGCCUAAUGGAGCAAUGACAAUUAUAGAUAGGAAAAAGAAUAUAUUUAAACUGUCUCAAGGUGAAUAUGUUGCUGUGGAAAACAUUGAAAGCAAAUACCUGCAAUGCCCUCUUAUCACAUCGAUUUGGGUUUAUGGGAACAGCUUUGAGUCGUUUCUUGUUGCUGUGGUAGUCCCUGACAGAAAGGCAUUGGAGGAUUGGGCAGCAAAGCAUCAUUUGACCGAUGAUUUUAAAUCAUUAUGUCAAAACCUGAAGGCAAGAAAGUACAUUUUGGAUGAGCUCAGUAGUGUUGGUCAGGAGCAGCAACUUCGAGGUUUUGAGCUGUUAAAAGCAGUUCACUUGGAACCAAAACCCUUUGACAUGGAGAGGGAUCUUAUAACUCCAACAUUCAAACUGAAGAGACCACACCUACUUAAAUAUUACAAGGACCGUAUUACUGUACAGUGAAGCAAGGGCAUGACAGCAAUGUCGAAAGCCGGAAGCUACUGGAGAAAACCUUUUUACCACAAUUUCCCAAAGUUGUGAUUGCUGAUACUGGGCAGGCGCUACCCACAAAGACUCUGGAUUCGGAUCCUAAGGAAUCCAAGUGACGCAAACAACCUAUAAAUGUACCAAUUGCUUGUAUCUACAUUACUAUUGUUGAGAUUUCCAUCAGAACUUGCACACACAAUGCAUCAGCUCACACAAAACCAGAUGAAUCGAAGAAAACAGAAAAAUGCAGAGAAAGAAUGGCAACUUAGUAAUGCUCAAAGGUUCGUUGCUAUGCACAAGACAUGGCAGUGCAUAGUACUCUCAUUUCUAACGGAACCAUUCCUUUCUACAAUGCUGAGAAUGUGAUCUCAGCCUUACAAUUGAUCCAGCAAUGUAAGCUGGACACUUGUCUUAAAUCUGAGUCCUGUAAGAUUCAUCCAACCGAAAUAUUACAUCUAUAAAAUCUGCGGUUAAUG